AUGAGCACUAGAACCAAGACCGACUUCCAUUGCCCCCAACAAUGCACAGACUGUUGUUUUCAUUCACCUCACUGUCCGUCUCCAGAUUCUUUUGGAGCUGGGGCUUCCUUAAUCUCAUCAACGUCAUCCUCCUGUAACCUGAGCAGCUUUGUACGCGUUCAUGGUGCUCUCGGCGGCUUCCUUCCUCUCCCCACCGGACUUAAACUCUGCAAGCUACCUGUGGUAGUCGCCCUUCAUCUUGAGAUAGAAGACUUUGGACUCGGCAGCUCCGGCGGAUGGCACGAGGUGGGAAUCAAGCAGGGCGAGGAUGCCGUCGCAGAUCUUUGCGAGCUCGGCCUCGAUCUUGCUGCGGUAGGAGCGGAUGGUGGCGGCGUGCGCGUCGUUGCCCCGACCUUCCUCCUUCUGCUCGAUGGAGGAGAUGAUCCUCCAGGACGCGCGCCGGGCCCCGAUGACAUUCUUGUAAGCCACAGAGAGCAGGUUGCGCUCCUCGACGGAUAG
This 498-nucleotide ribosomal RNA is filed under the name Triticum aestivum (bread wheat). RNAcentral describes it as "partial small subunit ribosomal RNA". Lineage: Eukaryota; Viridiplantae; Streptophyta; Magnoliopsida; Poales; Poaceae. The record is from RNAcentral.